CCCUUAGAUGUUCUGGGCCGCACGCGUGCUACACUGAGUGGAUCAGCGGGUCAGGUUGCGCGAAAGCGUUUCCUAAUCUUGAAAUCCGCUCGUGAUGGGGAUUGACGGUUGCAAUUUUCUGUCAUGAACGAGGAAUACCUUGUAAGCGCGAGUCAUCAUCCCGCGCUGAAUACGUCCCUGCCCUUUGUACACACCGCCCGUCACUCCUACCGAUUGAGUGGUCCGGUGAGGCUUUGGGAUCUGAGCGGAAAGAGCGUUUCGCUCGUUCUGCCCGGAAAACUCAGUCGAACCUUAUCAUUUAGAGGAAGGAGAAGUCGUAACA
RNAcentral lists this ribosomal RNA (322 nucleotides) under uncultured eukaryote. Its description in RNAcentral is "partial 18S ribosomal RNA". It matches the Rfam family "Eukaryotic small subunit ribosomal RNA", at positions 1470 to 1796 of the family's 1831-position model. The record is from RNAcentral.